RNAcentral lists this long non-coding RNA (279 nucleotides) under Rattus norvegicus (Norway rat). RNAcentral's name for it is "long non-coding RNA NONRATT000934". Lineage: Eukaryota; Metazoa; Chordata; Mammalia; Rodentia; Muridae. The record is from RNAcentral.
GUACAAUAAGAACUUCAAGACACUGAAGAAAGAAAUUGAAGAAGACCUCAGAAGAUGGAAAGAUCUCCCAUGCUCAUGUAUUGGCAGGAUUAAUAUAGUAAAAAUGGCCAUUUUACCAAAAGCAAUCUGCAGAUUCAAUGCAAUCCCCAUCAGAAUACCAGUCCAAUUGUUCAAAGAGUUAGACAGAACAAUUUGCAAAUUCAUCUGGAAUAACAAAAAACCCAGGAUAGCUAAAACUAUUCUCAACAAUAAAAGGACUUCAGGGGGAAUCACUAUCCC